GCCGAUGUCUGAUUAGCUAGUUGGUGGGGUAAAGGCUUACCAAGGCAACGAUCAGUAGUUGGUCUGAGAGGACGGCCAACCACACUGGGACUGAGACACGGCCCAGACUCCUACGGGAGGCAGCAGUGGGGAAUUUUGGACAAUGGGCGAAAGCCUGAUCCAGCCAUGCCGCGUGAGUGAAGAAGGCCUUCGGGUUGUAAAGCUCUUUUAGUCGGAAAGAAAGAGUCGCAAUGAAUAAUUGUGAUUUAUGACGGUACCGACAGAAAAAGCACCGGCUAACUACGUGCCAGCAGCCGCGGUAAUACGUAGGGUGCGAGCGUUAAUCGGAAUUACUGGGCGUAAAGGGUGCGCAGGCGGUCUUGCAAGUCAGAUGUGAAAGCCCCGGGCUUAACCUGGGAAUUGCGUUUGAAACUACAAGGCUAGAGUGCAGCAGAGGGGAGUGGAAUUCCAUGUGUAGCAG
RNAcentral lists this ribosomal RNA (460 nucleotides) under uncultured bacterium. RNAcentral describes it as "bacterial SSU rRNA". It matches the Rfam family "Bacterial small subunit ribosomal RNA", at positions 229 to 681 of the family's 1533-position model. The record is from RNAcentral.